UCGAGAAUCUUCGUCAAUGGGCGAAAGCCUGAACGAGCGACGCCGCGUGCGGGAUGAAGGCCUUUGGGUUGUAAACCGCUGUCGAGGGGGAUGAAGGCUGGAGGGUACUCCUUCCAGUUUGACAGAGCCCUGGAGGAAGCACGGGCUAAGUUCGUGCCAGCAGCCGCGGUAAUACGAACUGUGCGAACGUUAUUCGGAAUCACUGGGCUUACAGGGUGCGUAGGCGGCUCAACAAGUCAGGUGUGAAAGCCCCCGGCUCAACCGGGGAACUGCGCUUGAAACUGUUGGGCUCGAGUCAGCUAGAGGUACACGGAACUUCCAGUGGAGCGGUGAAAUGUGUUGAUAUUGGAAGGAACACCGGAGGCGAAAGCGGUGUACUGGGGCUGGUCUGACGCUGAGGCACGAAAGCCAGGGGAGCGAACGG
This 424-nucleotide ribosomal RNA is filed under the name uncultured bacterium. RNAcentral describes it as "bacterial SSU rRNA". It matches the Rfam family "Bacterial small subunit ribosomal RNA", at positions 355 to 775 of the family's 1533-position model. The record is from RNAcentral.